RNAcentral lists this ribosomal RNA (752 nucleotides) under Wolbachia pipientis. RNAcentral describes it as "bacterial LSU rRNA". It matches the Rfam family "Bacterial large subunit ribosomal RNA", at positions 2165 to 2925 of the family's 2925-position model. Lineage: Bacteria; Pseudomonadati; Pseudomonadota; Alphaproteobacteria; Rickettsiales; Anaplasmataceae. The record is from RNAcentral.
AUGGCGCUAGCUAUAAUGGAGUCAAUCUUGAGAUACCACCCUUUACACUUUUGAUAUCUAACUAUGUUUCAUUAUCUGGAACUAGGACAUUGUAUGGUGGGUAGUUUGACUGGGGCGGUCGCCUCCUAAAAAGUAACGGAGGUGUGCGAAGGUAAGCUAGAGCUGGUCGGAAAUCAGCUUGAUAGUAUAAUGGCAUAAGCUUGCCUGACUGCGAGGCUGACAAGCCAAGCAGAGACGAAAGUCGGUCAUAGUGAUCCGGUGAUUCUGUAUGGAAGGGUCAUCGCUCAACGGAUAAAAGGUACGCCGGGGAUAACAGGCUGAUGGUGUUCGAGCGUUCAUAGCGACAACACCGUUUGGCACCUCGAUGUCGACUCAUCACAUCCUGGGGCUGAAGAAGGUCCCAAGGGUUCGGCUGUUCGCCGAUUAAAGUGAUACGUGAGUUGGGUUUAGAACGUCGUGAGACAGUUCGGUUUCUAUCUGCCGUGGGUGAAGGAAAUUUGAGAAGGUCUGACUCUAGUACGAGAGGACCGAGAUGGAUAUACCUCUGGUGUACCAGCUGUUAUGCCAAUAGCAUCGCUGGGUGGCUAUGUAUAGAUGGGAUAAUUGCUGAAAGCAUAUAAGCAAGAAACCCUCUUCAAAAAGAUUUCCCAAUUAAGGCCGUGGAAGACUACCACGUUGAUAGGCUAGGUGUGGAAGCAUGGUAACAUGUGAAGCUAACUAGUACUAAUAGCCUGAUUGAUUUAUUUGCUUUC